CUCUCGACAACUACAUAUGAGAGGUCCCGCCUGCCCUGUGACUAAUGUUUAACGGCCGCGGUAUCUUGACCGUGCAAAGGUAGCGCAAUCACUUGUCUUUUAAAUGAAGACCUGUAUGAAUGGCUAAACGAGGGCUUAACUGUCUCCUUCUCUAGGUCAAUGAAAUUGAUCUCCCCGUGCAGAAGCGGGGAUACUGACAU
Molecule: ribosomal RNA, 200 nt
Filed under: Cyprinodon macularius
Lineage: Eukaryota; Metazoa; Chordata; Actinopteri; Cyprinodontiformes; Cyprinodontidae
Description: partial 16S ribosomal RNA
Rfam family: Bacterial large subunit ribosomal RNA
Source: RNAcentral